Aricia agestis (brown argus) is the source of this 816-nucleotide long non-coding RNA. RefSeq lists it as uncharacterized. NCBI's taxonomy places the organism in Eukaryota, Metazoa, Arthropoda, Insecta, Lepidoptera, Lycaenidae. The record is from RefSeq and is a predicted model, not a curated record. The transcript has 3 exons.
AUUACAUCUAAACAGUUUGUUAUACAGCAGAGUCACCUUAUUCAAGUCGUAACUGAUCUAAUCAAGUUACCGAAUUGAAUAGAAAAGUCGACUUACUGCUGGUAGGGCAGUCAGCAGAAAAUUUUACUACACAAGAAGACAAUGCAGAAAUUACAAUUUUAUUGGCAAGUCUACCAGUAAAGGAUGAUGCAAGUUUCGAAGAUUUUAAUAACAAGUUAAAGACAAACCAGAAUAAACAGGCAGUUGUAUGUAGAAAGAAAAAUAUAUCAAUGCAUGUCAAAUUUUGCAAUUGUUAAAUCCAAUUUAAUUUUUUCAGAUGAAAUUGUUGGUUGGUAUUGGUGGCAGAGGCCUCCGUAGUCUCACUACUAAUAUAUUAAGAAGAAUAUUACUAGACGAUGUGGCAGAAUUAUAUUCCAUAACUGGAAAAACAAUGAAAAAUUCUCACAAAAAAAUCGUUUCUACAAACAGAAACAUUCCAAGUAAUUUUUCGUAAGUAUAUUUUUACUUUUUAGUAAGUGGCGCAAAGGAGAAAAGGCCUAUCUAUACCCAGCAGUGGAAAUCUGCAAAAAAGUCUACGAAGAUGUGACUGAAAAUGGACUUAAAGAAAUAAUAAGCGAUUGGCUAAAUCAAGCGAAAGGUAGAAUAUCAAGAAGAGCAGAGAGACAAAAAAAGGAGUGAAAAUGAAAAAUCUUGCAUUAAAAUCAUCUUGGACACAAAAUUGUUCAGUCGAACCCGACCAACCAAACUAGUCCGACGACCAACCCUACAAUACCGAUCAACCCGACCAAGAAAUAGAAAUAAAAAAUAAAUAAAUGU